RNAcentral lists this ribosomal RNA (493 nucleotides) under uncultured bacterium. Its description in RNAcentral is "partial 16S ribosomal RNA". It matches the Rfam family "Bacterial small subunit ribosomal RNA", at positions 28 to 506 of the family's 1533-position model. The record is from RNAcentral.
GACGAACGCUGGCGGCGCGCUUAACACAUGCAAGUCGAACGGAAAGGCCUGCUUUCCCUUGUGGAUUGCGGGUACUCGAGUGGCGAACGGGUGAGUAACACGUGAGUGAUCUGCCCCCAACUUGGGUAUAAGCCUGGGAAACUGGGUCUAAUUCCCGAUAGGACUGCAGGGUGGUGCCUGUGGUGGAAAACGAUUUUCUAGUGGUUGGGGAUGAGCUCGCGGCCUAUCAGCUUGUUGGUGGGGUAAUGGCCUACCAAGGCGGCGACGGGUAGCCGGCCUGAGAGGGUGGACGGCCACAUUGGGACUGAGAUACGGCCCAGACUCCUACGGGAGGCAGCAGUGGGGAAUAUUGCACAAUGGGCGGAAGCCGGAUGCAGCGACGCCGCGUGGGGGAUGACGGCCUUCGGGUUGUAAACUCCUUUCGACCGCGAGGAAGCCACCUGGUUGGAAGGGUGGUGACGGUAGUGGUAGAAGAAGCACCGGCUAACUACGU